Long non-coding RNA from Monodelphis domestica (gray short-tailed opossum), 2066 nucleotides. Ensembl lists it as uncharacterized. Lineage: Eukaryota; Metazoa; Chordata; Mammalia; Didelphimorphia; Didelphidae. The record is from Ensembl.
CCCUGUGUAGAACCUCCCUCCACCUCUCUGAAGUGGAGAAGAGAGUCCCAUGAGCCUGUAGCAGUCUAACAAGAGCUGGUGAGAAGAGUGAGGGGCUUCUACAGGAAGAAGACUUAAGUUUAGCAACUUCCUCAUCUCUUUGCUUACUUUGAGCUGGUUUCUGCUGCCAGAGGCUCAAACUCACUCAGCCGUUUUAGAGUGGAUCCUCUAUUAAGCCACGGCUGAUAUUUACACAUAUUUUCCCUUUUUAAAACAUGCAUCAGUUAUAUUUUUGGUGAGCACCCUAUGUGUGUGGGAAGGAUGCCUUCUGGAAGAAAGUUCCUCUACUUCAAGGGACCUUCAUUUUUAUCCAUGACUUUGGUAGUCCUGCAUUUUAAUGCCACCAAGAAUCUGAAUCCUCCAGCAGCUGUCUACUUCAGAUCCCUUGAACUCUUGUGCAUUUUCAGGAUGUCCAUUCUCUCUAUCCCUGAAUUGAUGCCAAAUGAAAACACUCCAUGUGCUGGAAUUUCUCUUUGAGGUAACAAAAUCUGAGGUCAUUCUUCUCCAGUGAUAAUUCAUUUAACUAAACCAAAAUUAAACCUCACUAGUCUCCCUAAUCUGAUUUAUGCCUUCAUCUCACAAAAAUCAUGAAUGUUUUCUACAAAUUCUUUUUUCAAAAAAUUCUAAUUCAAUUCACUUUCAUUUUGUUUUUCAUUUUGUUAAUCAUGAGAUGUUCCUUGGAGCUUCAUGAGCACCCCUGGUUGGACGGUCUUUGGAGGAAAGCUGUUUGGUGGUGGGAUGCAGGUCUAAGGAAAUGGUGGUUUGGGUGUUGAAGUUAUCCUUAAAGCAGUCAGGCAUUGAAGAGCGGACUAAGCACCACCCAGUAGUCAUGACAUUAGCAUAUUAGUCACUCCCAGUCACAACAAAGGGUUGUGUUUGGGCUCUUAAUUGAGCCACCCUAACAGGCCUUGUAAUUGAGCCACCCUGACAGGCCUUGUAAUUGAGCCACCCUGACAGGCCUCUUGAUUGAGUCACCCUGAAAGGCCUUGUAAUUGAGCCACUCUGACAGUCCCCUUUCUGGAGUCACUACUGUUCCAGCCUUAGUAUUUAAGAGAGGCUUCUACCCGGGUUCUAAGCGAAGCUGUGGACAGACAUCUCUGGUGUGAGUCACUUUGGAAAGUACCCUGACUCCGAGUAUUAAACUAGAGGAAGUGGAGACUGUUGACUGGCAACUGAGAGCUAGAAGGUGAAUCAGACCAGUGUCGCAGCUCCGUGUCCUGGGCUCUCAGAGGAGGGGCCCGCCCAGCCUUGUGACGUGGUGCAGACGAGCAUUGCAGCCUGUCCCAACAUGCUCAGGACACUGGCUAGGCUCAUGCUUUCUCAAGUGAGGAUAGUUGGUGUUCAGAUAACGUUUGACAGGUCUCAGCCAAUGUUGACCUUCAGCUUUUCCCUGUGGGGCUUUCCCCUCACACUGCAAGUCCUUUUGGGUCCUGCAGAUCAAUCUGGGAACAACUCCAACCUACCACAAACUGAAGAGAAUUAAGCGACCUCAGUUUAGAUUUUUGACAGUCAACGCCCCGCCCAGACUGCCUGUUGUCUAGUCACCUCACACAUAUCUUCCUCUAUCCUAAGCCAUUAGAGUUUGGCUGUUAUGCAAUACACGGCGCAGGGAAGAAGAAGUAAUGACUUCCUUGGAGCAACAUGGCUGAAUAUACUCCGGAGUAUUACAGAUUCCUGGUUCCAAAGGAAAGGUCCCUCAACUGGGGAAUCCUUACAGAAAUUUUCAUCCCAAGCAUCAGGCCAUUCUACUGUGCUAUGAUGAAUGAAUGAAACCAUAUCGAUAUCUAUCUCCCACCUUGUCAAAGAAAAGACUUAACAUAGCCCUCUGAACAGCGUGGAAGUGCACAUUGGAAUGAAGAGAAAAUGGAGAACUGGGAAAAGCACACAUCUAACUAGCCGGCCUGUGUAAAUGGAGGGAAACAGGCAAGCCAGGAUUUUGAGAAACUCCUCAGCCAAGAAGCUUUAGAGUGGGCUUGGAGCAGAAUGGUAUGAAUAAAAUGACUGGCUUCAUUCUUUGUGUGUAAGUU